Molecule: microRNA precursor, 63 nt
Filed under: Strongylocentrotus purpuratus (purple sea urchin)
Lineage: Eukaryota; Metazoa; Echinodermata; Echinoidea; Camarodonta; Strongylocentrotidae
Description: Spu-Mir-31_pre stem-loop
Source: RNAcentral
AGGCAAGAUGUUGGCAUAGCUGUGAUUUAAAUAUUAACCCAGCUGUGUCUUCAUACUGCCAUU